AGAGUUUGAUCAUGGCUCAGGAUGAACGCUGGCGGUAUGCCUAACACAUGCAAGUCGAACGAUGUCUUCGGACAUAGUGGCGGACGGGUGAGUAACGCGUGAGAAUCUGCCUCUAGGAUGGGGAUAACGGUUGGAAACGACCGCUAACACCCAAUAUGCCGUAAGGUGAAAAAUUUAUUGCCUGGAGAGGAGCUCGCGUCUGAUUAGCUAGUUGGUGGGGUAAGAGCUCACCAAGGCCUCGAUCAGUAGCUGGUCUGAGAGGAUGAGCAGCCACACUGGGACUGAGACACGGCCCAGACUCCUACGGGAGGCAGCAGUGGGGAAUUUUCCGCAAUGGGCGAAAGCCUGACGGAGCAAUACCGCGUGAGGGAGGAAUGCCUUUGGGUUGUAAACCUCUUUUCUCAGGGAAGAAGAUCUGACGGUACCUGAGGAAUAAGUAUCGGCUAACUCCGUGCCAGCAGCCGCGGUAAUACGGAGGAUGCAAGCGUUAUCCGGAAUCAUUGGGCGUAAAGCGUCCGCAGGUGGUUUCCAAAGUCUGCUGUUAAAGACUGGAGCUCAACUCCGGAACGGCGGUGGAAACUUGGAAACUAGAGUUCGGUAGGGGUAGCAGGAAUUCCCAGUGUAGCGGUGAAAUGCGUAGAUAUUGGGAAGAACAUCGGUGGCGAANGCGUGCUACUGGACCGUAACUGACACUCAGGGACGAAAGCUAGGGGAGCGAAAGGGAUUAGAUACCCCUGUAGUCCUAGCUGUAAACGAUGGAAACUAGGUGUGGCUUGUAUCGACCCGAGCCGUGCCGUAGCUAACGCGUUAAGUUUCCCGCCUGGGGAGUACGCACGCAAGUGUGAAACUCAAAGGAA
This 857-nucleotide ribosomal RNA is filed under the name uncultured marine microorganism. Its description in RNAcentral is "bacterial SSU rRNA". It matches the Rfam family "Bacterial small subunit ribosomal RNA", at positions 8 to 909 of the family's 1533-position model. The record is from RNAcentral.